UNCCANGCCGUAAACGAUNUCGACNUNGNGGUUGUUCCCUUGAGGAGUGGCUUCCGGANUAACGCGUUAAGUNGACCGCNUGGGGAGUACGGCCGCAAGGUUAAAACUCAAANGAAUUGACGGGGGCCCNGCACAAGCGGUGGAGCAUGUGGUUUAAUUCGAUGCAACGNGAAGAACCUUACCUACUCUUGACAUCCANGGAAUUUGGCNGNGAUGCCUUNGUGCCUUCGGGAACUNUGAGACNGUUGCUGCAUGGCUGUNGUCAGCUCGUGUUGUGAAAUGUUGGGUUAAGUCCCGCAACGAGCGCAACCCUUAUCCUUUGUUGCCAGCGAUUCGGUCGGGAACUCAAAGGAGACUGCCGGUGAUAAACCGGAGGANNNUGGGGAUGACGUCAAGUCAUCAUGGCCCUUACGAGUAGGGCUACACACGUGCUACAAUGGCGCAUACAAAGNGAAGCGACCUCGCGAGAGCAAGCGGACCUCAUAAAGUGCGUCGUAGUCCGGAUCGGAGUCUGCAACUCGACUCCGUGAAGUCGGAAUCGCUUGUAAUCGUGGAUCAGAAUGCCACGGUGAAUACGUUCCCGGGCCUUGUACACACCGCCCGUCACACCANGGGAGUGGGUGCUAAAAGA
RNAcentral lists this ribosomal RNA (631 nucleotides) under Pantoea sp. RNAcentral describes it as "partial 16S ribosomal RNA". It matches the Rfam family "Bacterial small subunit ribosomal RNA", at positions 793 to 1424 of the family's 1533-position model. The record is from RNAcentral. Lineage: Bacteria; Pseudomonadati; Pseudomonadota; Gammaproteobacteria; Enterobacterales; Erwiniaceae.